GGACGGGGGUUGAUGGGUUUCCGGCAAAGAUCUGCGCAGCUGCGACAACACACCGAGUAGGUGAAGGACCUUUUGCUGGGCGCUGUGGUCGUUGUCCGGUGGAGCGAGCCCUCUGGGUGAGUGGAGGUGUGUGCGUGUGCACCGAGACAACAACUCAGGGAAAAACGAUACAUCACACGUUUUCACGGAGGUGCGCAGAGCAGGACUGCUUGGACCGACAGGUUCAGAGGAUCCAGGAACUCCUUAGAGUCAUCUCGGCAAUGUUCCCAACCCUUCGUUUGAUGGAUUGCUUCUGCCAACAGCUGCAGUACCCGGCUCGUUGGGUCCACAGUGGAGACAGCAAAACCUCUGGUCGCUCAUGAAGUGUUGGACUAAUAUAUGCUACAUGCUAAGUCGCUUCAGUCAUGUCAACUUCUUGUGACCCCAUGGACUGUAGCCCACCAGGCUCCCCUGUCCAUGGGAUUCUCCAAGCAAGAAUACUGGAGUGGGUUGCCAUUUCCUCCUCUGGAGAAUCUUCCCCACCCAGGGAUCGAACCCGCAUCUCUUUACGUCUCCUGCGUUGGCAGGCGAGUUCUUU
Long non-coding RNA from Bos taurus (domestic cattle), 577 nucleotides. NCBI's taxonomy places the organism in Eukaryota, Metazoa, Chordata, Mammalia, Artiodactyla, Bovidae. The record is from Ensembl.